AUGACCAUAUCACAUUGAAACAGUAGUUCCUGUAUGAUCACCAAAGUUAAGCAAUGUUGAGACUGGUCAGUACCUAGAUUGGUGACCACUUGGGAAUACCAGGUGUUGUGA
This 111-nucleotide ribosomal RNA is filed under the name Acanthosepion pharaonis. Lineage: Eukaryota; Metazoa; Mollusca; Cephalopoda; Sepiida; Sepiidae. The record is from RNAcentral.